Molecule: ribosomal RNA, 433 nt
Filed under: uncultured bacterium
Lineage: Bacteria
Description: partial 16S ribosomal RNA
Rfam family: Bacterial small subunit ribosomal RNA
Source: RNAcentral
AACGAACGCUGGCGGCAUGCCUAACACAUGCAAGUCGAACGAGACCUUCGGGUCUAGUGGCGCACGGGUGCGUAACGCGUGGGAACCUGCCCUUAGGUUCGGAAUAACUCCCCGAAAGGGGUGCUAAUACCGGAUAAUGUCUUCGGACCAAAGAUUUAUCGCCUUUGGAUGGGCCCGCGUUGGAUUAGCUAGUUGGCAGGGUAAAAGCCUACCAAGGCGACGAUCCAUAGCUGGUCUGAGAGGAUGAUCAGCCACACUGGGACUGAGACACGGCCCAGACUCCUACGGGAGGCAGCAGUGGGGAAUAUUGGACAAUGGGCGAAAGCCUGAUCCAGCAAUGCCGCGCGAGUAAUGAAGGCCUUAGGGUUGUAAAGCUCUUUUACCCGGGAUGAUAAUGACAGUACCGGGAGAAUAAGCUCCGGCUAACUCCGUG